AAUUACCUAAACUUGAGAUACCUAGUAAAGAAACACUCGUUCAUUGAAAGCGAAGGUUUUUUUGCUGUACCUAUAUAUUUAAUAGUUUUCGCGUGGAUAAAGUACUUUAUUGAAGAGUCUACAGCAAGAAUCAGGAUGAUUGCAGAAACCCCCAUCAUAUUCGGAUCAUAACAAUAAGCUGCAUAUUGUUGAUUUUUUUCAAUAACGUGAAUUUUUCGAUGGCGGCAGAGACGAAAUACGAUAGUUGUGACUAUGGAACAUGUCAAAAUCUAUGUGCACAGCAGUAUCCAGGGUCUAUUGCGUUAUUGCAACAAGCCUCAGCAGUUUGCGAUAUCAAUAACUUCUGUCAAUGUUACAGAAUUAACAGUGAUGGAUCUAUACGUAACUUAAAUUAUAAUAACUAACGAAAUCACCAAAAUCAGAAAGUAAGAAGUUCAACUAUGAAUCUAUUUUGCUGCGUAGAUUAACAUUAUCAGGUACCUACCUACAUUAGGUAUCUACUUAAUUACGUACAUAUUAGCUGAAUUCAUGCACAUGUAAUUUAUUCCUUCGUUAUAGAAUUAAACCGCACUUUGAAAAUUA
Long non-coding RNA from Planococcus citri (citrus mealybug), 582 nucleotides. RefSeq lists it as uncharacterized. Lineage: Eukaryota; Metazoa; Arthropoda; Insecta; Hemiptera; Pseudococcidae. The record is from RefSeq and is a predicted model, not a curated record. The transcript is spliced from 2 exons.